AUUGAACGCUGGCGGCAGGCCUAACACAUGCAAGUCGAGCGGAUGAAGGGAGCUUGCUCCUGGAUUCAGCGGCGGACGGGUGAGUAAUGCCUAGGAAUCUGCCUGGUAGUGGGGGAUAACGUCCGGAAACGGGCGCUAAUACCGCAUACGUCCUGAGGGAGAAAGUGGGGGAUCUUCGGGCCUCACGCUAUCAGAUGAGCCCAGGUCGGAUUAGCUAGUUGGUGGGGUAAAGGCCUACCAAGGCGACGAUCCGUAACUGGUCUGAGAGGAUGAUCAGUCACACUGGAACUGAGACACGGUCCAGACUCCUACGGGAGGCAGCAGUGGGGAAUAUUGGACAAUGGGCGAAAGCCUGAUCCAGCCAUGCCGCGUGUGUGAAGAAGGUCUUCGGAUUGUAAAGCACUUUAAGUUGGGAGGAAGGGCAGUAAGUUAAUACCUUGCUGUUUUGACGUUACCAACAGAAUAAGCACCGGCUAACUUCGUG
Molecule: ribosomal RNA, 484 nt
Filed under: uncultured bacterium
Lineage: Bacteria
Description: partial 16S ribosomal RNA
Rfam family: Bacterial small subunit ribosomal RNA
Source: RNAcentral